This 22-nucleotide microRNA is filed under the name Murid betaherpesvirus 1 (Murine cytomegalovirus). RNAcentral's name for it is "mcmv-miR-m107-1-3p". Its record names the gene mcmv-miR-m107-1-3p. The record is from miRBase by way of RNAcentral. Lineage: Duplodnaviria; Heunggongvirae; Peploviricota; Herviviricetes; Herpesvirales; Orthoherpesviridae.
UGCUCGCGUCGAGUGACCGCUC